GGAGGUUUAAGAUCCAGUACAAGAAAGUGGCUUCGACAGCCUCCCCAAGAGAUAUCAUGCAAACUAAUGGAGGACUCGUCCAUCCCAGCAGAUCUUAGCUUUAGGUAGGAAAAACCAGUCACCAACCCACCCCAACCCAUUAAAAAACACAUCCACAACACAAGAGUCCUACUGUCACUAAACUUGGAACCUAAACUAUUGCAUGUUCCAUGGCAGGUGUAAAAUAACCUUCAUAAAUGAACCACCAUCCUAUAAGCAAUCAAAAUGCAACACAAAAUAAUCUACAGUCCCACCCAAAGGGGUGAUGAUAGACUCACAUCGGAUUAGAGAAGAGAGUCG
This 339-nucleotide unclassified non-coding RNA is filed under the name Hevea brasiliensis (rubber tree). The record is from RNAcentral. Lineage: Eukaryota; Viridiplantae; Streptophyta; Magnoliopsida; Malpighiales; Euphorbiaceae.